AAAUUGAAGAGUUUGAUCAUGGCUCAGAUUGAACGCUGGCGGCAGGCCUAACACAUGCAAGUCGAGCGGAAACGAGUUCACUGAACCUUCGGGGAACGUGAACGGCGUCGAGCGGCGGACGGGUGAGUAAUGCCUGGGAAAUUGCCCUGAUGUGGGGGAUAACCAUUGGAAACGAUGGCUAAUACCGCAUAAUAGCUUCGGCUCAAAGAGGGGGACCUUCGGGCCUCUCGCGUCAGGAUAUGCC
Molecule: ribosomal RNA, 244 nt
Filed under: Vibrio parahaemolyticus
Lineage: Bacteria; Pseudomonadati; Pseudomonadota; Gammaproteobacteria; Vibrionales; Vibrionaceae
Description: partial 16S ribosomal RNA
Rfam family: Bacterial small subunit ribosomal RNA
Source: RNAcentral